UCGCCAGACUCCUACGGGAGGCAGCAGUGGGGAAUAUUGCACAAUGGGCGAAAGCCUGAUGCAACAACGCCGCGUGAAGGAAGAAGGCCUUCGGGUCGUAAACUUCUGUCCUUGGGGAAGAAGAACUGACGGUACCCAAGGAGGAAGCCCCGGCUAACUACGUGCCAGCAGCCGCGGUAAUACGGAGGGUGCGAGCGUUAAUCGGAAUUACUGGGCGUAAAGCGCUCGUAGGCGGUAUGUCAAGUCAAGGGUGAAAUCCCCGCGCUCAACGUGGGAACUGCCUUUGAAACUGGCAAACUGGAGUGUGUGAGAGGAUAGUGGAAUUCCAGGUGUAGGAGUGAAAUCCGUAGAUAUCUGGAGGAACAUCAGUGGCGAAGGCGACUAUCUGGCACAUAACUGACGCUGAGGAGCGAAAGCGUGGGUAGCAAACAGGAUUAGAUACCCCCGUAAAC
RNAcentral lists this ribosomal RNA (452 nucleotides) under uncultured bacterium. RNAcentral's name for it is "bacterial SSU rRNA". It matches the Rfam family "Bacterial small subunit ribosomal RNA", at positions 328 to 795 of the family's 1533-position model. The record is from RNAcentral.